RNAcentral lists this long non-coding RNA (619 nucleotides) under Musa acuminata (dwarf banana). RNAcentral's name for it is "long non-coding RNA (MACU_LNC003604)". Lineage: Eukaryota; Viridiplantae; Streptophyta; Magnoliopsida; Zingiberales; Musaceae. The record is from RNAcentral.
UCUGCACGUCCGUGGAUCGAGAAAUCAGGAAACAGAGUUUGGGUUAUGCUCGGAGGACUUGGGGAAGAACCAGACGUGAAAGCCAAUCAAACAGAGUUUGGAAUAAAGGUACAACAACGGUGGAUAAAAGAAAGCACGAGGGCAGUGGGUGAUCGAUCACCUGGGGCGAUGUAGCCGUGGGUGCCGGCGAUGACAUGAGCGGAGGAUGCCUCCUCUGCUCCUCCGGCGGCAGCGGAGUGCAGUACCUUGGCGAGGCCGAAGUCGGCGAUGCGGGGCUUGAGACAGUCGUCGAGGAGGAUGUUGCUAGACUUGACGUCCCGGUGGAGGAUGGGGCGGUCCCAGCCGUGGUGCAGGUAUUCCAGCCCCCGCGCCGCCCCCACUGCGAUCUCGUACCUCUCCUCCCACCCCAAUUCCAUCUUCCCCGCCUCCGUGGACCCGUGAAGCCGGUCCCAGAGGCUCCCUUUGGGAAGGUGCUCGUACACCAGCAGGUGGCAUUCCUCGCUAGUGAUGCUGCAGUACAGCUUCACCACGUUGACGUGCCGCACCGCGCUCAGCGUCCCCACCUCCGCCUCGAACUCCCUCGCCGCCGGCCUCCUCCGCCCCCGCGCUACCAGCAUCG